UCUUAUUGAUUAAGUAUACGAAAAUCUUAGAAGAAAUCCCGUCCAAAUAACCACCUUACUGAAUACUUGAAUUAAACUUUGAAGACAAACAUAUCACUCGGUACACAUGCCCAAUUGCAAUCUGCCUUGCAUAGGCAUCCAUAAAUCACAAUAAAAUACGAUCAAGUCUAGUUUAUAAUAAAACGGAGAAAAUAGAGGAUUCGAACAAUCAAACUUAACGAAAUUACUUAUUAAAAACAUUUCCUGGUUCACCUCAGAACCCAACCCCCAAUUCUAGAGCCUCAGAGUCAGAUCAAUCCCGUCGUCAGUCUCUUCCUGAUCCCCUUCACGCACGCCUUGCUGGUGUCCACGGUGACCACCAUCUCCAGUCCUGCGGUAGCCGCCGGCCACACGCGCCGACACAGCAGAUGACGGUUGAGUUGGAGCAAGCCCGGUACCAAUCUGCCAUUGCCACUGCAACGAAGGAGGCACGAAGAAGGGGGCCGAGGGGUAGUAGUGGGCGGCAAACAGGUUCUCAUGGAGGUAAGCUCUGCCCAAGGCGGUGAUGUCCGACGACGAUGCCCAGAUGGGCACUGACGACGACGCGGGAGGACGGUCUAUGCGUGCCUUCUUGUUGACGGGGCCGGGUGGCGCCCACAGGUGCCUGUGCACCGUCUGGUGCCCGCACCGCCCCUGCACGGUCGUGAACAUGCGGGGGCAGUACUCGCACUUGAACCUGGCCUUCUGCACCUUGUUGCUGGAAGACGAUGAUGCCGUGAGAGACGACGUCUGGCUCGUGUACCCUGCCUUGUCAUCCUCGGCACGGGUGGCCGGCGGCAGAGACUUGUCGUUGUCGGCGGGGAAGGUGGACACGGAGGAACCAGUGGACUCCAUUUCUGCAAAUGGUCUAGAUGAGACGUACUACUACUUAUCUUGUUGUGUGCUUCGGCUGCUUGCUUGCAGUACUCGACGGUGGGGGUUUUAUAGUUACGGAGCGGGAUGUGGGAUUGGCUAAGAUUGGAAGAAAACAUGCUGGUGGCGUUAUUUCUAGCAGUGCAAUCAUUCUCAUAAUUCUCUACAAUUACUCGUAUAUUUAUGGCCUUCCAAUUAAAUGUAUUUUCUUUUUCUUUUUUAAUUUUUUUUGGAUUGGUUGAAAUGUAUUUCCCCGUCAUGACGAUAGGAAUUCAAUUUGCAUCCCUUUUGGUUUUGGGCCACUAGAGGCCCAGUUUUGUUUCGUCCAAUUUCCCGCUCCGGCCGACGUGCUAGAACGGUCCAUUAUUCAGUAGCCCAUUGUAACCAAAGCUCAUUUUUAUGUGGGCCAAGUAAGAGCAAUUUCAAUGGGGUGACCCAAACGGACGGCGAUUUCGUCCGCGUUUUAUCCGUUUGAGUCGGACGCCGCCGGCGUUCGCCUGUUUUAGAUAUGGGUCGGCUGGGUGCCCAACGCGCCGACCCAUAUGUGCUGGCGUGGCCGUCUGGCCUCCCUAUUUUUCGCAUGAUUGCAUAGUUUGAAUCAAAUAAUAUAGUUUCAGACCCAAUAAAAUAGUGUAGUUUAUUACAAGCCGCCUGGCCUCCCUAUUCAACGCCCGAAGGUGGCCCGGAAUGGAACCAUGAAACAAUGGCCCUGGCUGUUAAGGUGGUGAUGGACCAACAUGGCAGCCAAUAUCUCCUCCUCAUCAUCGGAGGACGAAUCAUCGGAGUCGCAAAGGAAAUUGUGAAAAAAGAACUAGUCGGCGGAGUCCAUUUUGUACCUUAGCAAACUGUCGAACAACUUGUGGGAGUUGGCGAAGGAGACGGCCGACGAAGGGAGUCGUGGCGCGCACGGACCAGCUAGCUGUCCUGUCGACGUCCGACGAGCGUGCCAGCGUCCGACGAGCGUGCCGGUGAGGAUCUGGCCGGCGGCGAGGCGGCUUCUUGGUCGGGACGGCUGUGCGGUGGUGGUGCGCGGGGGGUGGGAAGCAGUCGGCUCCCCGGCAGCAAGACGGCGGUGGCGGGCGACGUGGGAGUGGGCGGCGUAGCUAGGCGGAUGUGGAGGCGCCGACAGUUGGCAGAGUCGCCGACAAAAAUGGGCGGCGGCGUCGGCGACGAAAGAGGAUCAUGAAGGUUGUUGUUGGAUGGGGGGAGGCCAAUGUGCCACCGAUCAGCGGGCCGGGGAGGAGAGGGCGAGCAUGUGCGCGUCCGUCGCAUGUCCGCGCCGACGCAAAUCCGACUCAAAAAUGGGCCGGGAAUGGGUCGCCCGUGGACGAAUAGAGCAUGCGCGUCUAUUUGGGUUGGCAUGUUGGGACGCCUUUUGUGUCCAUGCCGACCCAAACGAACGGCGGCGGACGAAAUGGGUCGCCCCGUUGGAGUAGCUCUAAAUCCACAACCCAUAUAUAUCAAGCACAUACAAUAAUUUUGGAGAAAUGGUCUAGAAAGUUACUUAAAUUAUUACAUAAUCUCAUAAAUAUAUAAUUAAGUUACAAAAUGUGUUUACACACAAAAUUAUGACAUAAUCUCAUAAAUAUAUAAUUAAGUUACAAAAUGUGUUUACACACAAAAUUAUGUGUUCACCAACAGAAUCACCAUUUCGACCGAGAUUUGAGAAGGGGGUUUACCCUAGGCAUUUGCAUAGCAGAAGCCAGAGAAUAUGACCAAUCAACUCUUGCUUCUUUCUGACUUCCUCCAUCUCUUAUUUUGUUUUGAUGAUCACCUGCAUGUUUUCCUCUUCGUUGCUUCCUCGAGAUGUUGACUGCAUCUCAUAACCCAGGUUCACCUGUCUUUUAGCCAGUAGUUGAGCCUCAAGAACUUUAGCAGUUGGUGACUUUGACGAUUGCAUCUAAUCUACCAUUAUGCGGGCAUGUUCAUGUGGCAUUACUCUAGGAGGUUACCUUGGAAAUUACCUCAAAACUUGAUCUUGGGAUUAUCCCUUCUGCCAUCAUAAUCUCAAUUGUAGUCUUGAACAUUACUACAUAUUGACAUACUACUAACCCCUCAUCACUGGUCGGCCUAUGGCCACGUGUCACUGAUGAGGUUCAUCACCAACAGGCUAAUGUUUGGUCGAUCAGUGCGGGUCAUCCAUGAUUGUUAACACAAACAGGUUAAAAUUUGGUCGAUCAGUGAUGUUGUCCUCCUCAGCCGUUGGGAGGUUGAAAGUUUAUCACAGACUGAUGUCAAAAUUUGCUCGUCACUGCUAUUACUUAGAUAUCAAUAGAUUCAGAAAAGUGUAACUUAUUUCCCUGAGCAGUGCAACUUGCACUUUCCUAGAAAAGUGCAAGUGGAUGAAAAAGUGCAAGUUGCAUUUUUGUCAGUAUACUAAAUUUAUAGUUUUCUGAAUUAAUCGGGACUUCAGAUAAAAUUCUCCAUACAGUUGAUCCCAUAAGUGUUGCCCUGAUUAUAUAAGUUACGCUUAAUGAUGUGAUAAAUUAAAUUUGAAUCCAUGAAAAUUUUCUUUCUCAUUCAUAAUAAUAUUUGUUCUCCACGAGCUAUUUUUUUAUUCCAAAAAUUAUUUGAACUAUAUUGUAUAGACUAAUGAAAUUGUGAUUCUAUGUUUUAGAGUCUACUUCCACCUAGACAAUACUUCCUUUUCUUUUUUGAUAUGAAAGAUCCGGAGAAGCUGAUGUAAUUCUAAACAUCAAGCUAAUUAAGGAUGAGAGUGGGAUUACUUUAACGCAAUCUCACUAUGUUGAGAAGGUCUGGAGUUGGUUUGAUAGAUAGCAAGACUUCUCCAACACCUUAUGAUCCUAGUGUGACACUUCAAAAGAACAUGAAAGAAACAAGUGAUCAACUAAGAUACUCUCAAAUUAUCGAUUCACUCAGGUUUUUAGCUAGCGCAACAAGGCCAAAUAUUGUGAUCUCUCGCGACACAAAUUAGCAUUCACCUUAAGCUCCUGAAAUAUAAUUUCCCAAAAAAGCAAUCGAAUUGUUUGUCUGUUGUCUUGAUGAUGAUUUGCCGAGUGGUUUUAUAGUGGUGAGGAGACUUAUCUUCUUAAUUAAUCGAUGAGGAAAAACUUUUGCCUCUGUUUGGGAUAUUACUGUAAUUGCUAAUGGAGCUCGAGCUCCAUGGAGCCCUUAAUUUGAAAUUUUCAAAACUCAAAUUUUUAGAUUUAAAAAAAUCUUAAAAUUUCACUCUAAAAAUAUCCAAAAAAAUUAUGUCAGCUACACAAAAAUGACAAAAUCAAGUAUUUCUAACACAUGUACCACUAGAAAAGUAUAUGAUUUUGUAUUUUGUAUAGCUCACACAGCUAUUCCAUGAUGAAAUUUCAUACAGUCUAGUAUUUACCUAUAAGUACUUGUGUAUUUGUUUUCAUGUUUUCUUUGAAACUUAGGAAGUUGAUAUUGGAAAAUUUCAGGCUCCAUGGAGCCCGAGCAAAAAAAUCCACUCUCCUCAUACAUUACAUAUAUAUAUAAAGCGGGGAAUAGUUAUAUCGAAUCUACAUCCCUCUAUUUUUUGCGGGUAGAUCUGAUCACCAUCCUGAUGUGCUUUGGAAAUCAUGAAAUUUUGUGAAGGCGAUGUCACGAAGCAAAAUACAACAAAGGUCCUGGAAAAACGUUUUAUAUAAAAUGAUAAGAUCACACGUUUAUAACUACUUCGUUGUAAAACUCCCCUAUUGGAUAAGUACACAACAAAAAUUUAGAAGAAAUCCCAUCCAGAUAACCACCUUUUUGAAUACAGUACUUGUAUUACACUUUGAUUGAAGACAGACAAGUCACACGGCAGAUUGACCAAUUUCAAUUUGUCUUAAAUAUGCACCCAUAAAUCACAGGGAAAUACGAUCAAGUCUAGCUUUUAUAAUAAAACGAAGAAAAAAUAGAGUAUUCGAACAAUCGAACUUAAGGGAACAUUUAAAAACAUUUCCUGAUUCACUUCAGAACCCAACCCCUAAUUCUAGAGCCUCAGGGUCAGAUCAAUCCCGUCGGCAGUCUCUUCCUGAUCCACUUCACACACGCCUUGCUGCUGUCCACGGUGACCACCAUCUCCAGUCCUGCGGUAGCCGACGACCACACGCGCCGACACAGCAGAUGACGGUUGAGUUGGAGCAAGGCCGAUACCAGUCUGCCAUUGCCACUGCAAUGAAGGAGGCACGAAGGGGGCCGUGGGGUAGUAGUGGGCGGCAAGCAGGUUCUCAUGGAGGUAAGCUCUGCCCAAGGCGGUGAUGUCCGACGACGAUGCCCAGAUGGGCGCUGACGACGACUCGGGAGGACGGUCUAUGUGUGCCUUCUUGUUGACGGGGCCGGGUGGCGCCCACAGGUGCCUGUGCACCGUCUGGUUCCCGCACCGCCCCUGCACGGUCGUGAACGUGCGGGGGCAGUACUCGCACUUGAACCUGGCCUUCUGCACCUUGUUGCUGGAAGACGAUGAUGCCGUGAGAGACGACGUCUGGCUCGUGUACCCUGCCUUGUCAUCCUCGGCACGGGUGGCCAGCGGCAGGGACUUGUCGUUGUCGGCAGGGAAGGUGGACACGGAGGAACCACAUGACUCCAUUUUUGCGGAUGCUCCAGAUGAGACGUACUACUGAUCUUGUUGUGUGCUUUGUCUGCUUGCUUGCAGUACUCGACGGUGGGGGUUUUAUAGUUACGGAGCGGGAUGUGGGAUUGGCUAAGAUUGGAAGAAAACAUGCUGGUAGCGUUAUUUCUGGCAGUGCAAUCAUUCUCAUAAUUCUCUACAACUACUCUUAUAUUUAUGGCCUCCCAAUUAAAUGUAUUUUCUUUUUCAUUUUUCAUUUUUUUAGGAUUGAUUGAAAUGUAUUUCCCCUUGAUGACCAUAGGAAUUCAAUUUGCAUCCCUUUUGGUUUUGGGCCACUAGAAGGCCCAGUUUUGUUUCGUCCAAUUUCCUGUUCCAGCCAACUUGCUAGAACGGUCCAUUAUUCAGUAGCCCAUUGUAGCCACGCUCAUUUUCAAGUGGGCCAGUAAAUCCACAACCUGUAUAUAUCAAGCACAUCCAAUAAUUUUGGAGAAAUGGUCUAGAAAGUUAAUUAAAUUAUUACGUAAUCUCAUAAAUAUAUAAUUAAGUUACAAAAUGCGUUUACACACAAAAUUAUGACAUAUAUCUAAGAGCUCAGGAAACGACAAGUUCACCAACAGAAUCACCAUUUUAACGGAGAUUUGAGAAGGGGGUUCACCCUAGGCAUUUGCAUACCAGAAGUUAGAGAAUAUGACCAAUCAACUCUUUCUUCUUUCUGACUUCCUCCGUCUCUUAUUUUGUUUUGAUGAUCACCUGCAUGUUUUCCUCUUCGUUGCUUCCUCGAGAUGUUGACUGCAUCUCAUAACCCAGCUUCACCUGUCUUUUAGCCAGUAGUUGAGCCUCAAGAACUUUAGCAGUUGGUGACUUUGACGAUUGCAUCUAAUCUACCAUUAUGCGGGCAUGUGCAUGUGGCAUUACUCUAGGAGGUUACCUUGGAAAUUACCUCAAAACUUGAUCUUGGGAUUGUCCCUUCUGCCAUCAUAAUCUCAAUUGUAGUCUCGAACAUUACUACAUAUUGACAUACUACUAACCCCUCAUCACUGGUCGGCCUAUGGCCACGUGUCACUGAUGAGGUUCAUCACCAACAGGCUAAUGUUUGGUCGAUCAGUGCGGGUCAUCCAUGAUUGUUAACACAAACAGGUUAAAAUUUGGUCGAUCAGUGAUGUUGUCCUCCUCAGCCGUUGGGAGGUCGAAAGUUUAUCACAGACUGAUGUCAAAAUCCACAACCCAUAUAUAUCAAGCACAUGCAAUAAUUUUGGAGAAAUGGUCUAGAAAGUUACUUAAAUUAUUACAUAAUCUCAUAAAUAUAUAAUUUACAAAAUGUGUUUACACACAAAAUUAUGACAUAAUCUCAUAAAUAUAUAAUUAAGUUACAAAAUGUGUUUACACACAAAAUUAUGUGUUCACCAACAGAAUCACCAUUCCGACCGAGAUUUGAGAAGGGGGUUUACCCUAGGCAUUUGCAUAGCAGAAGCCAGAGAAUAUGACCAAUGAACUCUUGCUUCUUUCUGACUUCCUCCAUCUCUUAUUUUGUUUUGAUGAUCACCUGCAUGUUUUCCUCUUCGUUGCUUCCUCGAGAUGUUGACUGCAUCUCAUAACCCAGGUUCACCUGUCUUUUAGCCAGUAGUUGAGCCUCAAGAACUUUAGCAGUUGGUAACUUUGACGAUUGCAUCUAAUCUACCAUUAUGCGGGCAUGUGCAUGUGGCACUACUCUAGGAGGUUACCUUGGAAAUUACCUCAAAACUUGAUCUUGGGAUUGUCCCUUCUGCCAUCAUAAUCUCAGUUGUAGUCUCGAACAUUACUAAUAUCGACAUAGUACUAACCCCUCAUCACUGGUCGGCCUAUGCCCACGUGUCACUGAUGAGGUUCAUCACCGACAGGCCAGCGUCGGGGCGUCAGUGUUAGGCCUGUGCGGGUCAUCCAUGAUUGUUAACACAAACAGGUUAAAAUUUGGUCGAUCAGUGAUGUUGUCCUCCUCAGCCGUUGGGAGGUCGAAAGUUCAUCACAGACUGAUGUCAAAAUUUGCUCUCUAGUGCUAUUACUUAGAUAUCAAUAGAUUCAGAAAAGUGUAACUUAUUUCCCUGAGCAGUGCAACUUGCACUUUCCUAGAAAAGUGCAAGUGGAUGAAAAGGUGCAAGUUGCAUUUUUGUCACUAUACUAAAUUUAUAGUUUUCUAAAUUAAUCGGGACUUCAGAUAAAAUUCUCCAUAUAGUUGAUCCCAUAAGUGUUGCCCUGAAUAUAGAAGUUUCGCUUAAUGAUGUGAUAAAUUCAAUUUGAAUCCAUGAAAAUUUUCUUUAUCAUUCAUAAUAAUAUUUGUUCUACACGAGCUAUUUUUUUAUUCCAAAAAUUAUUUGAACUAGUUGUAUAGACUAAUGAAAUUGUGAUUCUAUGUUUUAGAGUCUACUUCCACCUAGACAAUACUUCCUUUUCUUUUUUGAUAUGAAAGAUCCAGAGAAGCUGAUGUAAUUCUAAACAUCAAGCUAAUUAAGGAUGAGAGUGGGAUUACUUUAACGCAAUCUUACUAUGUUGAGAAGGUCUGCAGUCGGUUUGGUUUUAUAGAUAGCAAGACUUCUCCAACACCUUAUGAUCCUAGUGUGACACUUCAAAAGAACAUGAAAGAAACAAGAGAUCAACCAAGAUACUCUCAAAUUAUCGAUUCACUCAUGUUUUUAGCUAUCGCAACAUGGCCAAAUAUUGUGAUCUCUCACGACACAAAUUAGCAUUCACCUUAAGCUCCUGAAAUAUAAUUUCCCCAAAAAACAAUAGAAUUGUUUGUCUGUUGUCUUGAUGAUGAUUUGCCGAGUGGUUUUAUAGUGGUGAGGAGACUUAUCUUCUUAAUUAAUCGAUGAGGCAAAACUUUUGCCUCCGUUUCGGAUAUUACGGAAAUUGCUAAUGGAGCUCGAGCUCCAUGGAGCCCUUAAUUUGAAAUAUUCAAAACUCAAAUUUUUAUAUUUUAAAAAAUAUUAAAAUUUCACUCUAAAAGUAUCCAAAAAAAAUUAUGUCAGCUACACAAAAAUGACAAAAUCAAGUAUUUCUAACACAUGUACCACUAGAAAAGUAUAUGAUUUUGUAUUUUGUAUAGCUCACACACCUAUUUCAUGAUGAAAUUUCAUACAGUCUAGUAUGCACCUAUAAGUACUUGUGUAUUUAUUUUCAUGUUUUCUUUGAAACUUAGGAAGUUGAUAUUUGAAAAUUUCAGGCUCCAUGGAGCCCGAGCAAAAAAUCCACUCUCCUCAUAAAUUACCCAUAUAUAUAUAAAGGGGAAUAGUUAGAUCGAAUCUACAUCCCUCUUUUUUUGGCGGGUAGAUCUGAUCACCAUCCUGAUGUGCUUUGGAAAUCAUGAAAUUUUGUGAAGGCGAUGUCACGAAGCAAAACACAACAAAGGUCCUGGAAAAACGUUAUAUAUAAAAUGAUAAGAUCACACGUUUUAUAACUACUUCGUUGUAAAACUCCCCUAUUGGAUAAGUACACAACGAAAAUUUAGAAGAAAUCCCAUCCAGAUAACCACCUUUUUGAAUACAGCACUUGUAUUACACUUUGAUUGAAGACAGACAAGUCACACGGCAGAUGGACCAAUUUCAAUUUGUCUUAGAUAUGCACCCAUAAAUCACAGGGAAAUACGAUCAAGUCUAGCUUUUAUAAUAAAACGAAGAAAAUACAGUAUUCGAACAAUCGAACUUAACGGAACAACUAAAAAGAUUUCCUGAUUCACUUCAGAACCCAACCCCUAAUUCUAGAGCCUCAGGGUCAGAUCAAUCCCGUCGUCAGUCUCUUCCUGAUCCCCUUCACGCACGCCUUGCUGGUGUCAACGGUGACCACCAUCUCCAGUCCUGCGGUAGCCGCCGGCCACACGCGCCGACACAGCAGAUGACGGUUGAGUUGGAGCAAGCCCGGUACCAAUCUGCCAUUGCCACUGCAACAAAGG
Molecule: long non-coding RNA, 9341 nt
Filed under: Triticum aestivum (bread wheat)
Lineage: Eukaryota; Viridiplantae; Streptophyta; Magnoliopsida; Poales; Poaceae
Description: long non-coding RNA (TAES_LNC007771)
Source: RNAcentral